This 425-nucleotide ribosomal RNA is filed under the name uncultured fungus. RNAcentral's name for it is "SSU rRNA". It matches the Rfam family "Eukaryotic small subunit ribosomal RNA", at positions 804 to 1228 of the family's 1831-position model. The record is from RNAcentral. Lineage: Eukaryota; Fungi.
UUAGCAUGGAAUAAUGGAAUAGGACGUGGGGUUUUAUUUUGUUGGUUUCUAGGACCGCCGUAAUGAUUAAUAGGGACAGUCGGGGGCAUCAGUAUUCAAUUGUCAGAGGUGAAAUUCUUGGAUUUAUUGAAGACUAACUACUGCGAAAGCAUUUGCCAAGGAUGUUUUCAUUAAUCAGGAACGAAAGUUAGGGGAUCGAAGACGAUCAGAUACCGUCGUAGUCUUAACCAUAAACUAUGCCGACUAGGGAUCGGACGAUGUUAUUUUUUGACUCGUUCGGCACCUUACGAGAAAUUAAAGUUUUUGGGUUCCGGGGGGAGUAUGGUCGCAAGGCUGAAACUUAAAGAAAUUGACGGAAGGGCACCACCAGGGGUGGAGCCUGCGGCUUAAUUUGACUCAACACGGGGAAACUCACCAGGUCCAGA